AGAGUUUGAUCCUGGCUCAGGACGAACGCUGGCGGCGUGCCUAAUACAUGCAAGUCGAGCGGACCUCUUCGGAGGUCAGCGGCGGACGGGUGAGUAACACGUGGGCAACCUGCCUGUAAGACUGGGAUAACUCCGGGAAACCGGAGCUAAUACCGGAUACUAUGUCAAACCGCAUGGUUUGACAUUCAAAGACGGUUUCGGCUGUCACUUACAGAUGGGCCCGCGGCGCAUUAGCUAGUUGGUGAGGUAACGGCUCACCAAGGCGACGAUGCGUAGCCGACCUGAGAGGGUGAUCGGCCACACUGGGACUGAGACACGGCCCAGACUCCUACGGGAGGCAGCAGUAGGGAAUCUUCCGCAAUGGACGAAAGUCUGACGGAGCAACGCCGCGUGAGUGAUGAAGGUUUUCGGAUCGUAAAACUCUGUUGUCAGGGAAGAACAAGUGCCGGAGUAACUGCCGGCGCCUUGACGGUACCUGACCAGAAAGCCACGGCUAACUACGUGCCAGCAGCCGCGGUAAUACGUAGGUGGCAAGCGUUGUCCGGAAUUAUUGGGCGUAAAGCGCGCGCAGGCGGUUUCUUAAGUCUGAUGUGAAAGCCCCCGGCUCAACCGGGGAGGGUCAUUGGAAACUGGGAAACUUGAGUGCAGAAGAGGAGAGUGGAAUUCCACGUGUAGCGGUGAAAUGCGUAGAGAUGUGGAGGAACACCAGUGGCGAAGGCGACUCUCUGGUCUGUAACUGACGCUGAGGCGCGAAAGCGUGGGGAGCGAACAGGAUUAGAUACCCUGGUAGUCCACGCCGUAAACGAUGAGUGCUAAGUGUUAGAGGGUUUCCGCCCUUUAGUGCUGCAGCUAACGCAUUAAGCACUCCGCCUGGGGGAGUACGGUCGCAAGACUGAAACUCAAGGGAAUUGACGGGGCCCGCACAGGCGGUGGAGCAUGGUGGUUUAUUCGAGCACGCGAGACCUUACCAGGUCUGACAUCCUUUGCCACUUCUAGAGAUAGAAG
RNAcentral lists this ribosomal RNA (1005 nucleotides) under Bacillus sp. MDS01. Its description in RNAcentral is "bacterial SSU rRNA". It matches the Rfam family "Bacterial small subunit ribosomal RNA", at positions 8 to 1012 of the family's 1533-position model. Lineage: Bacteria; Bacillati; Bacillota; Bacilli; Caryophanales; Bacillaceae. The record is from RNAcentral.